RNAcentral lists this ribosomal RNA (2787 nucleotides) under Escherichia coli. RNAcentral's name for it is "bacterial LSU rRNA". It matches the Rfam family "Bacterial large subunit ribosomal RNA". The record is from RNAcentral. Lineage: Bacteria; Pseudomonadati; Pseudomonadota; Gammaproteobacteria; Enterobacterales; Enterobacteriaceae.
AGCGUACACGGUGGAUGCCCUGGCAGUCAGAGGCGAUGAAGGACGUGCUAAUCUGCGAUAAGCGUCGGUAAGGUGAUAUGAACCGUUAUAACCGGCGAUUUCCGAAUGGGGAAACCCAGUGUGUUUCGACACACUAUCAUUAACUGAAUCCAUAGGUUAAUGAGGCGAACCGGGGGAACUGAAACAUCUAAGUACCCCGAGGAAAAGAAAUCAACCGAGAUUCCCCCAGUAGCGGCGAGCGAACGGGGAGCAGCCCAGAGCCUGAAUCAGUGUGUGUGUUAGUGGAAGCGUCUGGAAAGGCGCGCGAUACAGGGUGACAGCCCCGUACACAAAAAUGCACAUACUGUGAGCUCGAUGAGUAGGGCGGGACACGUGGUAUCCUGUCUGAAUAUGGGGGGACCAUCCUCCAAGGCUAAAUACUCCUGACUGACCGAUAGUGAACCAGUACCGUGAGGGAAAGGCGAAAAGAACCCCGGCGAGGGGAGUGAAAAAGAACCUGAAACCGUGUACGUACAAGCAGUGGGAGCACGCUUAGGCGUGUGACUGCGUACCUUUUGUAUAAUGGGUCAGCGACUUAUAUUCUGUAGCAAGGUUAACCGAAUAGGGGAGCCGAAGGGAAACCGAGUCUUAACUGGGCGUUAAGUUGCAGGGUAUAGACCCGAAACCCGGUGAUCUAGCCAUGGGCAGGUUGAAGGUUGGGUAACACUAACUGGAGGACCGAACCGACUAAUGUUGAAAAAUUAGCGGAUGACUUGUGGCUGGGGGUGAAAGGCCAAUCAAACCGGGAGAUAGCUGGUUCUCCCCGAAAGCUAUUUAGGUAGCGCCUCGUGAAUUCAUCUCCGGGGGUAGAGCACUGUUUCGGCAAGGGGGUCAUCCCGACUUACCAACCCGAUGCAAACUGCGAAUACCGGAGAAUGUUAUCACGGGAGACACACGGCGGGUGCUAACGUCCGUCGUGAAGAGGGAAACAACCCAGACCGCCAGCUAAGGUCCCAAAGUCAUGGUUAAGUGGGAAACGAUGUGGGAAGGCCCAGACAGCCAGGAUGUUGGCUUAGAAGCAGCCAUCAUUUAAAGAAAGCGUAAUAGCUCACUGGUCGAGUCGGCCUGCGCGGAAGAUGUAACGGGGCUAAACCAUGCACCGAAGCUGCGGCAGCGACGCUGAUGCGUUGUUGGGUAGGGGAGCGUUCUGUAAGCCUGUGAAGGUGUGCUGUGAGGCAUGCUGGAGGUAUCAGAAGUGCGAAUGCUGACAUAAGUAACGAUAAAGCGGGUGAAAAGCCCGCUCGCCGGAAGACCAAGGGUUCCUGUCCAACGUUAAUCGGGGCAGGGUGAGUCGACCCCUAAGGCGAGGCCGAAAGGCGUAGUCGAUGGGAAACAGGUUAAUAUUCCUGUACUUGGUGUUACUGCGAAGGGGGGACGGAGAAGGCUAUGUUGGCCGGGCGACGGUUGUCCCGGUUUAAGCGUGUAGGCUGGUUUUCCAGGCAAAUCCGGAAAAUCAAGGCUGAGGCGUGAUGACGAGGCACUACGGUGCUGAAGCAACAAAUGCCCUGCUUCCAGGAAAAGCCUCUAAGCAUCAGGUAACAUCAAAUCGUACCCCAAACCGACACAGGUGGUCAGGUAGAGAAUACCAAGGCGCUUGAGAGAACUCGGGUGAAGGAACUAGGCAAAAUGGUGCCGUAACUUCGGGAGAAGGCACGCUGAUAUGUAGGUGAAGCGACUUGCUCGUGGAGCUGAAAUCAGUCGAAGAUACCAGCUGGCUGCAACUGUUUAUUAAAAACACAGCACUGUGCAAACACGAAAGUGGACGUAUACGGUGUGACGCCUGCCCGGUGCCGGAAGGUUAAUUGAUGGGGUCAGCGCAAGCGAAGCUCUUGAUCGAAGCCCCGGUAAACGGCGGCCGUAACUAUAACGGUCCUAAGGUAGCGAAAUUCCUUGUCGGGUAAGUUCCGACCUGCACGAAUGGCGUAAUGAUGGCCAGGCUGUCUCCACCCGAGACUCAGUGAAAUUGAACUCGCUGUGAAGAUGCAGUGUACCCGCGGCAAGACGGAAAGACCCCGUGAACCUUUACUAUAGCUUGACACUGAACAUUGAGCCUUGAUGUGUAGGAUAGGUGGGAGGCUUUGAAGUGUGGACGCCAGUCUGCAUGGAGCCGACCUUGAAAUACCACCCUUUAAUGUUUGAUGUUCUAACGUUGACCCGUGAUCCGGGUUGCGGACAGUGUCUGGUGGGUAGUUUGACUGGGGCGGUCUCCUCCUAAAGAGUAACGGAGGAGCACGAAGGUUGGCUAAUCCUGGUCGGACAUCAGGAGGUUAGUGCAAUGGCAUAAGCCAGCUUGACUGCGAGCGUGACGGCGCGAGCAGGUGCGAAAGCAGGUCAUAGUGAUCCGGUGGUUCUGAAUGGAAGGGCCAUCGCUCAACGGAUAAAAGGUACUCCGGGGAUAACAGGCUGAUACCGCCCAAGAGUUCAUAUCGACGGCGGUGUUUGGCACCUCGAUGUCGGCUCAUCACAUCCUGGGGCUGAAGUAGGUCCCAAGGGUAUGGCUGUUCGCCAUUUAAAGUGGUACGCGAGCUGGGUUUAGAACGUCGUGAGACAGUUCGGUCCCUAUCUGCCGUGGGCGCUGGAGAACUGAGGGGGGCUGCUCCUAGUACGAGAGGACCGGAGUGGACGCAUCACUGGUGUUCGGGUUGUCAUGCCAAUGGCACUGCCCGGUAGCUAAAUGCGGAAGAGAUAAGUGCUGAAAGCAUCUAAGCACGAAACUUGCCCCGAGAUGAGUUCUCCCUGACUCCUUGA